This 450-nucleotide ribosomal RNA is filed under the name uncultured bacterium. Its description in RNAcentral is "bacterial SSU rRNA". It matches the Rfam family "Bacterial small subunit ribosomal RNA", at positions 8 to 458 of the family's 1533-position model. The record is from RNAcentral.
AGAGUUUGAUCCUGGCUCAGAUUGAACGCUGGCGGCAUGCCUUACACAUGCAAGUCGAACGGCAGCACGGGAGCAAUCCUGGUGGCGAGUGGCGAACGGGUGAGUAAUAUAUCGGAACGUGCCCAGUCGUGGGGGAUAACGCAGCGAAAGCUGUGCUAAUACCGCAUACGAUCUCUGGAUGAAAGCGGGGGACUCGCAAGGGCCUCGCGCGAUUGGAGCGGCCGAUAUCAGAUUAGCUAGUUGGUGGGGUAAAAGCCCACCAAGGCGACGAUCUGUAGCUGGUCUGAGAGGACGACCAGCCACACUGGAACUGAGACACGGUCCAGACUCCUACGGGAGGCAGCAGUGGGGAAUUUUGGACAAUGGGCGCAAGCCUGAUCCAGCAAUGCCGCGUGCAGGAUGAAGGCCUUCGGGUUGUAAACUGCUUUUGUACGGAACGAAACGGCGAGC